AAAACUAACCACUGUAUAUUGAUAUUAUUAAAUGUAUCAGAAGAUUGUGUUUAGAAACAAGAAAUUCAGAGGACUGUAUAACAGCAUCAGUAUGACAGAGACCUCUUGUAUGUCUUUGAACCUGUUGGUCAUUGACUGCUUAGUGCCACCCAUUCCCGAUGCUGAAGGUCUGAUGUCACCUUCAGGUGACUUAUGCAAUCAGCAGUGCAGACUGAGGAAAUGGGAGGCUGAAUUUGGAAGUGAAGUUGAUAGAAACUUACACUGUGCUGAUAAAGGAAAGUAAGAUGUGAAAAUGGACAAGGAUUUUGCAAAAGGCCUCAAGGUGUAUCUGUGCUGGAUACGGAACUGAGUUAYUUCUAGCAGAUGUAUUCUCCUGGGUGUAUAGUUGCAGCACUCCUGUCUGACAGUACAUGCAAAAAGGAAAAAAUUCAUUUGACAUCAAUAUUUUCAGUAAAAGGUUGACAGGAAUGAUCCUCACCAUUUUGGAAGCAUAAUCUUCCUCGGUGACUCUGCAGAGAGUGGAUUUGAUCUUUGCUGUUGGACUGAAUGACCGCUUAAGCACGGUGCUGGGCAGAGUCACUCACUGCUGAAYGUUUCUGCAGAGGCACAACUUUCAAGCUUGCUGGCAAAAAGCGAAGUGGCUCACAGACAGCAGCCUUGGUCACAGAGCAGACAUAUAGAGCUACAAUGCAGUGAAUACUGUAUCAAUUAUUUUGUAUCAAUCUUUCUUUUAUCAAAGGAAGCAAAAAUUGGUAAAAUGAAAGGAGUACUAUUCUUGACUACAUAUAUAGCUACAAGAAUAAGACAUAUAAGACAUUCAGAAAAGAGAAAACAGCUUAGAGGCUGUUGUCUGCCAAAGUUCUGCAGUAAUAUUGUAACGUAACUUACUUAGURCUUGUGGAUUACUUUGCAAAUGAAACAACUGCAAUGAAUAUUUUGGUAUAAGGCUGUGAUAUGAACUUGACACAGGACUGAAUAAGUAAUUUAYGGACCACAAAUACAAUAUGUCCUGUAGUAGAAGUCAGCUAUUUUAUGCAUACUAAAUAAUACUAACCAAUCCUAAAACAUGAGGAAACAUCCAAUUCAGGUGAUUUACCCCAUCAGAUGUUGUCAUCUGUUAGGUCAGAUCCUUUUGAUAAUGUUACAACAACACAUUUAUUUUUACUCMGCUCUGUUCAAAUAUCAUUCACUAGCUCUUCAAGUGCUUUGGUCCAAAGCCUGAAUGAACAGGUGUGAGAACAUUAUCUGACCAAAUAUGAACUCAUGUAUUUCAUAUAUUGUACAUGCUCACACUUUUAUUUAUAAAAUGAGUUCACUGUCCCUGGCAUCUUACUUGCACUGUUUCUGUCUUGUCUGUGGGAAUCUAAAAUGAAAGAAAGCAGUACCAGUAUACUCUAAGCUUUCACGAUGACAAGCAAGUAAAAAUUAAGUGAAAG
This is a long non-coding RNA of Malurus melanocephalus (red-backed fairy wren), 1436 nucleotides long. RefSeq lists it as uncharacterized. The record is from RefSeq and is a predicted model, not a curated record. The transcript has 4 exons. Lineage: Eukaryota; Metazoa; Chordata; Aves; Passeriformes; Maluridae.